GACGAACGCUGGCGGCGUGCUUAACACAUGCAAGUCGAACGGAAAGGCCUCUUUCGGGGGGUACUCGAGUGGCGAACGGGUGAGUAACACGUGAGUAACCUGCCCUUGACUUUGGGAUAACUUCAGGAAACUGGGGCUAAUACCGGAUAGGAGCUCCUGCUGCAUGGUGGGGGUUGGAAAGUUUCGGCGGUUGGGGAUGGACUCGCGGCUUAUCAGCUUGUUGGUGGGGUAGUGGCCUACCAAGGCUUUGACGGGUAGCCGGCCUGAGAGGGUGACCGGCCACAUUGGGACUGAGAUACGGCCCAGACUCCUACGGGAGGCAGCAGUGGGGAAUAUUGCACAAUGGGUGGAAGCCUGAUGCAGCAACGCCGUGUGCGGGAUGACGGCCUUCGGGUUGUAAACCGCUUUCGCUCAUGACGAAGCUUUGUGUGACGGUAGUGGGUAAAGAAGCACCGGCUAACUACGUG
Molecule: ribosomal RNA, 467 nt
Filed under: uncultured bacterium
Lineage: Bacteria
Description: partial 16S ribosomal RNA
Rfam family: Bacterial small subunit ribosomal RNA
Source: RNAcentral